Molecule: long non-coding RNA, 276 nt
Filed under: Hordeum vulgare
Lineage: Eukaryota; Viridiplantae; Streptophyta; Magnoliopsida; Poales; Poaceae
Description: long non-coding RNA (HVUL_LNC011783)
Source: RNAcentral
UUUAGUUUACGACGAUCUUACGACGAAAAACCAAGCGUCGAAAACGGAGCGUCAGAAAUGAACAACAUCGACGUUUUGUUCAAAAUCGUCGUAACUUUUAUGAUGAUUCCUGGAUCGUCGUAACCUUUACGACGAUCCUAAAUUGUCGUUGGCAAUCUAAACCAGUCCUACGUGACAAAAUUAUGAUGAAAUCAAAACAUCAAGGUUGAAAUCAGCCCAACCCACUUCAAUUGAUCACAUGGGCUGAUUUUAUUUUCUUGAGCUUUUUCUUAUUGG